This 491-nucleotide ribosomal RNA is filed under the name uncultured bacterium. RNAcentral's name for it is "partial 16S ribosomal RNA". It matches the Rfam family "Bacterial small subunit ribosomal RNA", at positions 28 to 507 of the family's 1533-position model. The record is from RNAcentral.
GAUGAACGCUGGCUACAGGCUUAACACAUGCAAGUCGAGGGGAAACGACGGGGAAGCUUGCUUCCCCGGGCGUCGACCGGCGCACGGGUGAGUAACGCGUAUCCAACCUGCCUCUGACUGAGGGAUAACCCGUCGAAAGUCGGCCUAAUACCUCAUGGCAUCGUCUGCGGGCAUCCAACGACGAUUAAAGAUUUCAUCGGUCAGAGAUGGGGAUGCGUCUGAUUAGCUUGUUGGCGGGGUAACGGCCCACCAAGGCGACGAUCAGUAGGGGUUCUGAGAGGAAGGUACCCCACAUUGGAACUGAGACACGGUCCAAACUCCUACGGGAGGCAGCAGUGAGGAAUAUUGGGCAAUGGGCGAGAGCCUGAACCAGCCAAGUAGCGUGCAGGAUGACGGCCCUAGGGGUUGUAAACUGCUUUUAUGCGGGGAUAAAGUGAGGGACGUGUCCUUCAUUGCAGGUACCGCAUGAAUAAGGACCGGCUAAUUCCGUG